UGCCCUAGUAACGGCGAGUGAAGCGGCAACAGCUCAAAUUUGAAAGCUAGCCUUCGGGUUCGCAUUGUAAUUUGUAGAGGAUGAUUUGGGGAAGCCGCCUGUCUAAGUUCCUUGGAACAGGACGUCAUAGAGGGUGAGAAUCCCGUAUGUGACAGGAAAUGGCACCCUAUGUAAAUCUCCUUCGACGAGUCGAGUUGUUUGGGAAUGCAGCUCUAAAUGGGAGGUAAAUUUCUUCUAAAGCUAAAUAUUGGCGAGAGACCGAUAGCGCACAAGUAGAGUGAUCGAAAGAUGAAAAGCACUUUGGAAAGAGAGUUAAAAAGCACGUGAAAUUGUUGAAAGGGAAGCGCUUGCAAUCAGACUUGUUUAAACUGUUCGGCCGGUCUUCUGACCGGUUUACUCAGUUUGGACAGGCCAGCAUCAGUUUCGGCGGCCGGAUAAAGGCUCUGGGAAUGUGGCCUCCACUUCGGUGGAGGUGUUAUAGCCCAGGGUGUAAUACGGCCAGCCGGGACUGAGGUCCGCGCUUCGGCUAGGAUGCUGGCGUAAUGGUUGUAAGCGACCCGUCUUGAAACACGGACC
Molecule: ribosomal RNA, 576 nt
Filed under: Aureobasidium sp. YS DN17
Lineage: Eukaryota; Fungi; Ascomycota; Dothideomycetes; Dothideales; Saccotheciaceae
Description: eukaryotic LSU rRNA
Rfam family: Eukaryotic large subunit ribosomal RNA
Source: RNAcentral